Molecule: ribosomal RNA, 510 nt
Filed under: uncultured bacterium
Lineage: Bacteria
Description: partial 16S ribosomal RNA
Rfam family: Bacterial small subunit ribosomal RNA
Source: RNAcentral
GACGAACGCUGGCGGCGUGCUUAACACAUGCGAGUCGAACGAAGAGCGACGGAAGCUUGCUUCUCUCAAUCUUAGUGGCGAACGGGUGAGUAACGCGUAAUCAACCUGCCCUUCAGAGGGGGACAACAGUUGGAAACGACUGCUAAUACCGCAUACGAUCUAACCUCGGCAUCGAGGAUAGAUGAAAGGUGGCCUCUACAUGUAAGCUAUCACUGAAGGAGGGGAUUGCGUCUGAUUAGCUAGUUGGAGGGGUAACGGCCCACCAAGGCGAUGAUCAGUAGCCGGUCUGAGAGGAUGAACGGCCACAUUGGGACUGAGACACGGCCCAGACUCCUACGGGAGGCAGCAGUGGGGAAUCUUCCGCAAUGGACGAAAGUCUGACGGAGCAACGCCGCGUGAGUGAUGACGGCCUUCGGGUUGUAAAGCUCUGUUAAUCGGGACGAAAGGCCUUCUUGCGAAUAGUGAGAAGGAUUGACGGUACCGGAAUAGAAAGCCACGGCUAACUACGUG